CCUACGGGAGGCAGCAGUAAGGAAUAUUGGUCAAUGGAGGGAACUCUGAACCAGCCAUGCCGCGUGCAGGAAGACGGCCUACGGGUUGUAAACUGCUUUUGCACGGGAAUAUGUACCGUGAGAAUAAGGAUCGGCUAACUCCGUGCCAGCAGCCGCGGUAAUACGGAGGAUCCGAGCGUUAUCCGGAAUUAUUGGGUUUAAAGGGUGCGCAGGCGGGAUGCUAAGUCAGGGGUGAAAGACGGUGGCUCAACCAUCGCAGUGCCUUUGAUACUGGUGUCCUUGAAUGUACUUGAGGUAGGCGGAAUGUGGCAAGUAGCGGUGAAAUGCAUAGAUAUGCCACAGAACACCGAUUGCGUAGGCAGCUUACUAAGUUGAUUGACGCUGAGGCACGAAAGCGUGGGGAUCGAACAGGAUUAGAUACCCUUGUAGUC
Molecule: ribosomal RNA, 431 nt
Filed under: uncultured bacterium
Lineage: Bacteria
Description: partial 16S ribosomal RNA
Rfam family: Bacterial small subunit ribosomal RNA
Source: RNAcentral